UGGGGAAUAUUGGACAAUGGGGGGAACCCUGAUCCAGCAAUGCCGCGUGUGUGAAGAAGGCCUGAGGGUUGUAAAGCACUUUCAGUGGGGAGGAGGGUUGACUGGUUAAGAGCUGGUUGAUUGGACGUUACCCACAGAAGAAGCACCGGCUAACUCCGUGCCAGCAGCCGCGGUAAUACGGAGGGUGCAAGCGUUAAUCGGAAUUACUGGGCGUAAAGGGUGCGUAGGUGGUUAAUUAAGUUAUCUGUGAAAUCCCCGGGCUCAACCUGGGCAGGUCAGAUAAUACUGGUUAACUCGAGUAUGGGAGAGGGUAGUGGAAUUUCCGGUGUAGCGGUGAAAUGCGUAGAGAUCGGAAGGAACACCAGUGGCGAAGGCGGCUACCUGGCCUGAUACUGACACUGAGGCACGAAAGCGUGGGGAGCAAACAGG
This 429-nucleotide ribosomal RNA is filed under the name uncultured Legionella sp. RNAcentral's name for it is "bacterial SSU rRNA". It matches the Rfam family "Bacterial small subunit ribosomal RNA", at positions 355 to 776 of the family's 1533-position model. The record is from RNAcentral. Lineage: Bacteria; Pseudomonadati; Pseudomonadota; Gammaproteobacteria; Legionellales; Legionellaceae.